CAUCUAACCAAAAGCAUGGCAAAAGGAAAUCAAACCAAUUGGGGGUCAUCCUUUUAACCUAUCCUUUUCAUACCCACUACCUCUUUCAAACAAGAACCACGCGCCAAAGAAAAAUAGGGGCAACUUUGUGAAUCUCACGCGAAGUCUUCGCCCUGAAAUUCAUCGACCCAUAAUCCCAAGACUGGGGCAGCUUUACAGACCGCCUUUGAAUUUUCACCCUAAUUUUCAUGAAUCCAAACCCCAGCUCAUUUUCCCAAACACCAAACCGGGGCAACAAAAUAAAUAAAUAAAUAAAUAAAUAUAAAAAAAAUUGGUAUAUCGAGUUUGUCUUGACCCUCACAUAUUACAUCUCCUUUGGGGAUUUUAGUGUCCGCGUGACUGUCCCAGCCUUCCAAACCAUUCUAAACAACUCUCUUUCUUUUCAAAAUCAUCCUCCUGCCAACAAAUUCAAGCAUGUGUGCACUGAUGUCAAAAAAAAAAGUCAAAAUGUAAUAGUCUCAAAUUUAGGCCUCGGAGGCAUGACAUUCCUCAGUUUUCACAAAACAUUGAAAAUAAAGACCAGUUUGAUGAUUGCAAGCAAGAUGACUGACUCAAGAAAAAGAAAUGCAAAACAAAGCAAAUGUUUUCAUCAAUCAAUCA
This 639-nucleotide long non-coding RNA is filed under the name Vigna radiata. RNAcentral's name for it is "long non-coding RNA (VRAD_LNC015773)". Lineage: Eukaryota; Viridiplantae; Streptophyta; Magnoliopsida; Fabales; Fabaceae. The record is from RNAcentral.